GAUGAAGAACGUAGCGAAAUGCGAUACGUAAUGUGAAUUGCAGAAUUCAGUGAAUCGUCGAAUCUUUGAACGCAUAUUGCGCUCUCUGGUAUUCCGGAGAGCAUGCUUGUUUGAGUAUCAGUAAACACCUCAACUUCCAUAUCUUUUUUGAAAUGGGAGUUGGACUUGAGUGAUCCCAACGCUUUUCCUCACCGAAAAGUGGCGGGUUACUUGAAAUGCAGGUGCAGCUGGACUUUUCUCUGAGCUAUAAGCAUAUCUAUUUAGUCUGCCUAAAAAACAGAUUAUUACCUUUGCUGCAGCUAACAUAAAGGAGAUUAGUUCUUGUGCUGACUGAUGCAGGAUUCACAAAGACAGGCUUCGGCCGACUUUGUAAACUCGAUCUCAAAUCAAGUAAGACUACCCGCUGAACUUAAGCAUAUCAAUAAGCGGAGGA
Molecule: unclassified non-coding RNA, 433 nt
Filed under: soil metagenome
Description: partial contains 5.8S ribosomal RNA, internal transcribed spacer 2, and large subunit ribosomal RNA
Rfam family: 5.8S ribosomal RNA (bases 1-120)
Source: RNAcentral